GGCUCCCGCCCUGCGUGCUAGCGAGGCAGGCAUUGGCAGAACGGACUCGGGGCUGUCCUUCGUGGCCCGGACCCCGCGAGGCCUGUCCUUCCACCUCUGUGGGGACCAAGAGGGCAAGGAUCGUGCCAGGCUCACCGUGGGCGCUCAGUAAGCGGCCGUGCAGAGGACGGUUGAGGGCUUUGUGCAGAGGAAAUGAGAGACUGCUCUGAAGCAAGGCCCGCCUAGUGAGCUGCUAGGAAAAUGGAAGUCUGGGAUUAAUCGUCUCUACAAGGAGGGUGCGUGGGAGGCACCAAAGCAGGCGGUCACAGCUCCCGCAAAGGCAGCCGGCUCUCCUUCCCCGCCUGACGCUCAGGGACUACUCGCACAGACUGGGCUACUUCCUUCUUCAUUCAUUCAUCAAGUAUUUAUUGAGAAACUGCUAAGUGCCAAAUGCUUUGUUCUGGGCAUUGUAGGGGCAGAAAGGUGUGAUAUUUUCCCUUACUCAUCCCAAAGGUCACAGCGGACACUCCUACAAAUAAAAUAUAGGUUAGCAAGAGAAAA
Molecule: long non-coding RNA, 540 nt
Organism: Homo sapiens (human)
Lineage: Eukaryota; Metazoa; Chordata; Mammalia; Primates; Hominidae
Source: Ensembl